RNAcentral lists this ribosomal RNA (562 nucleotides) under uncultured Sebacinaceae. RNAcentral describes it as "eukaryotic LSU rRNA". The stretch from base 66 to 219 matches the Rfam family "5.8S ribosomal RNA". Lineage: Eukaryota; Fungi; Basidiomycota; Agaricomycetes; Sebacinales; Sebacinaceae. The record is from RNAcentral.
AUUUUUUAACACACACUCGCAUGUAAUGAAAUAAAUAAUGUUGUUGUGCGCAAGCACGAAUGUACAACUUUCAACAACGGAUCUCUUGGCUCUCGCAUCGAUGAAGAACGCAGCGAAAUGCGAUAAGUAAUGUGAAUUGCAGAAUUCAGUGAAUCAUCGAAUCUUUGAACGCACCUUGCACCCUUUGGUAUUCCGAAGGGUAUGCUCGUUUGAGUGUCAUUGUACUCUCACACUCACCAAUUUUUGGAUUGGGGAGCGGUGGACUUGGGUGUUUGCUGCUUGACCGCGGCUCACCUCAAAUGCAUUAGUGCAACUCUGGGUUGGACAUAGUACGGCGUGAUAAGUGUCUUCGCCGGCACCUCAGUAAGAGGGUGGCCAAUUGAGGGCUCUGCGCUUCAAACUGUCCUUUGCUGGACAAUCUUUGACAACUUGACCUCAAAUCGAGUAGGACUACCCGCUGAACUUAAGCAUAUCAAUAAGCGGAGGAAAAGAAACUAACAAGGAUUCCCCUAGUAACGGCGAGUGAAGAGGGAAANAGCUCAAAUUUUUGAAUCUGGGCGUC